Molecule: ribosomal RNA, 378 nt
Filed under: uncultured bacterium
Lineage: Bacteria
Description: bacterial SSU rRNA
Rfam family: Bacterial small subunit ribosomal RNA
Source: RNAcentral
AUUGAACGCUGGCGGCAUGCCUAACACAUGCAAGUCGAGCGAGGUGUAGCAAUACAUCUAGCGGCGGACGGGUGAGGAAUACAUAGGAAUUUGCCUUUAAGUGGGGGAUAGCCCGGGGAAACUCGGAGUAAUACCGCAUGACGUCGAAAGACCAAAGCAGGGGACCGCAAGGCCUUGCGCUUUUAGAGAAGCCUAUGUCGGAUUAGCUAGUUGGUGAGGUAAUGGCUCACCAAGGCAACGAUCCGUAGCUGGUUUGAGAGAACGAUCAGCCACACCGGAACUGAGACACGGUCCGGACUCCUACGGGAGGCAGCAGUGGGGAAUAUUGGACAAUGGGCGAAAGCCUGAUCCAGCAAUGCCGCGUGUGUGAAGAAGGCC